AGGAGUCGACAGCAUUCUUAGGCCAAACUUACAACUUGGGAAUAACAUUGAUCGAUUCAUGAAGGUUGAAGAAAGGAGUCGACAGCAUUCUUAGGCCAAACUUACUGCUUCGGGAUAAAAUUUAUGCAAAUGUAUUGACUUUGAGUAGCAACUCUUAGAAAACUGUAUAUUUGAUCGAUUCAUGAAAGUUGUUGGAAGGAGUCGACAGCAUUCUUAGGCCAAACUUACUACUUUAGGGAAAACUUUAUGCACAUGUAUUGACUAUGAGUGGCAACGCUUAGAAAAUUUUAUAUUUGAUCGAUUCAUGAAGGUUGGUGAAAGGAGUCGACAGCAUCCUUAGGUCAAACUUACUACUUAGGGGUAAAAUGUAUGCAAAUGUAUUGACUAUGAGUGGCAACGCUUAGAAAACUGUAUAUUUGAUCGAUUCAUGAAGGUUGUUGGAAGGAGUCGACAGCAUUCUUAGGCGAAACUUAGUACUUUGGGGUAAAAUUUACGCAAAUGUAUUGAAUAUGAGUGGCAACGCUUAGAAAACUGUAUAUUUGAUCGAUUCAUGAAGGUUGUUGGAAGGAGUCGACAGCAUUCUUAGGCGAAACUUACUACUUUGGGGAAAAAUUUAUGCAAAUGUAAUGACUAUGAGUGGCAACGCUUAGAAAACUGUAUAUUUGACCGAUUCAUGAAGGUUGGUGAAAGGAGUCGACAGCAUUCUUAGGCGAAACUUACUACUUUAGGGAAAACUUUAUGCAAAUGUAUUGACUAUGAGUGGCAACGCUUAGAAAACUGUAUAUUUGACCGAUUCAUGAAGGUUGGUGAAAGGAGUCGACAGCAUUCUUUGGCGAAACUUAGUACUUUGGGGAAAACUUUAUGCAAAUGUAUUGACUAUGAGUGGCAACGCUUAGAAAACUGUAUAUUUGAUCGAUUCAUGAAGGUUGUUGGAAGGAGUCGACAGCAUUCUUAGGCGAAACUUACUACUUUGGGGAAAACUUUAUGCAGAUGUAUUGACUAUGAGUGGCAACGCUUAGAAAACUGUAUAUUUGAUCGAUUCAUGAAGGUUGUUGGAAGGAGUCGACAGCAUUCUUAGGCGAAACUUACUACUUUGGGGAAAAAUUUAUACAAAUGUAAUGACUAUGAGUGGCAACGCUUAGAAAACUGUAUAUUUGACCGAUUCAUGAAGGUUGGUGAAAGGAGUCGACAGCAUUCUUAGGCGAAACUUACUACUUUAGGGAAAACUUUAUGCAAAUGUAUUGACUAUGAGUGGCAACGCUUAGAAAACUGUAUAUUUGAUCGAUUCAUGAAGGUUGUUGGAAGGAGUCGACAGCAUUCUUAGGCGAAACUUACUACUUUAGGGAAAACUUUAAGCAAAUGUAUUGACUAUGAGUGGCAACGCUUAGAAAACUGUAUAUUUGACCGAUUCAUGAAGGUUGGUGAAAGGAGUCGACAGCUUUCUUUGGCGAAACUUAGUACUUUGGGGAAAACUUUAUGCAGAUGUAUUGACUAUGAGUGGCAACGCUUAGAAAACUGUAUAUUUGAUCGAUUCAUGAAGGUUUUUGGAAGGAGUCGACAGCAUUCUUAGGCGAAACUUACUACUUUGGGGAAAACUUUAUGCAGAUGUAUUGACUAUGAGUGGCAACGCUUAGAAAACUGUAUAUUUGACCGAUUCAUGAAGGUUGGUGAAAGGAGUCGACAGCAUUCUUAGGCGAAACUUACUACUUUAGGGAAAACUUUAUGCAAAUGUAUUGACUAUGAGUGGCAACGCUUAGAAAACUGUAUAUUUGAUCGAUUCAUGAAGGUUGGUCGAAGGUUGGAUGGUUGGCAUUAUUUUAAUAAAACUCAGAAUUACUACCA
RNAcentral lists this long non-coding RNA (1842 nucleotides) under Pectinophora gossypiella (pink bollworm). RNAcentral's name for it is "uncharacterized LOC126373006". Lineage: Eukaryota; Metazoa; Arthropoda; Insecta; Lepidoptera; Gelechiidae. The record is from RNAcentral.